Molecule: long non-coding RNA, 1449 nt
Organism: Engraulis encrasicolus (European anchovy)
Lineage: Eukaryota; Metazoa; Chordata; Actinopteri; Clupeiformes; Engraulidae
Exons: 3
Source: RefSeq, a predicted model, not a curated record
ACUGCAGUCAUAGCUAAAAACUAAGUCAUAUUACUACUGAUAUCUGAGGCCUUUAUUGAAUGGGAUUCAUCAAUCACCGCCUUGAUAACUGGAAGCCUAUUCCAGCACAGAAUGAUCCAACAGAAGUAUACAGCUAUCCUCUUUAAAUGCACGUUUGGCAACCGAAACUCCAUGAUUUAGGUCACCUCACUUAAUUGUUAAAAUAGAAUAGUUUGAAAAAAAAAUAGUUUUGGGCAGACCCUUUAAAUGUUUUGGUCUCACACCAAGAUUGUGAUCAUUGGGGAUCAUUGUAAGGUUCAGACCGCAAUUUCAAUUGUUUAUUCAUGAACAGACAAUAUGACCUAGUAAAACACAAGAUGGCUAGUAGCUCAAAAAGUCGCAGUAUCUUCUGUAAGUAUGUUGGGUGCUCUUGGGUGAAGGGGGUCAGUCCAAUUCAACAAAAAAGGGAUAUUCCAGACAACUCCAAGUGAAAAAAGAAGUGAAUUUAAAAAGGCUUUAUUAUCUUAGGGCUAAAACAUGAUUAAAAGAGCCAACAUGUUUCGACCGCACUGGUCUUCAUCAGGGCUUUGUCUCUGGACAAGGUGUAUGGCUUCACCUAUAAAGUGACAAUGGCAAACAGGCAAACUGACCAAUGACCCCUUAAAUAAAUAGGCCUGACACCAUUUGAAUACAUUUGAAUAGGUAGGCCUAAAGGAGACUGCAGUCACCAAUCCACCAAUGGAUACUUUUUUACUCACUAUUGUAAUAUGUUUCAUCAUGUGCAAUGCCCCCAGUGCAUGGUUAUAAAACCCAUUCAAGGAUUGCAUAUUACCCAUUACUUGCAUGUUACGAAACACACUGGGGCACUCCCAGUAUGACCACUGAUAUGGCACACCACUGUAUGUUUGAAUACUGAAGUUCACUGAAUGCUGUCUAGGCCAGGACAACCCAGAAUUAGCUUGCAAUUUAGCCAAGUGACAUUUUAAUACUAUAACUGGAUACUGAUAUAACUGCUGCACCAGGGUAUUGUCUUAAGCAUAAACUUCAGCAAGUGAUUUGACAAGCAGAUAUUUUCUGUUUUAUUAAGUUAAUUAUAAGCAGAUGCCAGCAGAAAAAGCAAUCAAGUCAGUUUCCUAAGUUUUCUGUAUCUGUCUCUGAUUUGUGCAGCCCAUUGCAGCCUCAGGAAAAAUGCACCUCAACUGAAAUCUGACAAUCUGAAAAAGGAGGACCUAUGUAGCCCAUCAACCCAGACCAUGACCAGACCAUGAAGGAGCUAAGGGCAGCCAUCUUGCAGAGUGGAUUAAAAACAAUGGAAGUCAGUUAUGUCAGUCAGUUAUUUCAGCAAUAGAGGGUAAGUAUACAACACAUGCCAUGAACAUCCAAUGGUGAGUCAUCUUUGCUCUUCAUACUCUAUGCAUUGUGUUCUUCUGUAUAUUUUCAGAAAUUUACCAUGACAGAUACACUUGUAAU